Non-coding RNA from Emys orbicularis (European pond turtle), 354 nucleotides. The record is from the annotation of a RefSeq genome assembly. Lineage: Eukaryota; Metazoa; Chordata; Testudines; Emydidae.
AUGACGAUGCUGCAGCUCCUCUCUCUGCUAAUGGGGCUACUGGUCCCUGACCUCUCAAGUGUAGGAUCGGCCUAUGUGGAGCAGCUGCCUUUCCUCACAGGGGUUGCAGGAGAAUCCCAAACUCUGCAGUGUACAUUAAAAGAAACGAGCCACUACUGGAUGUACUGGUACUGGCAGAAGGAGGCAGAGGAGCUGGGGCAGCUCUUCUAUUCUUCAGGAGAUGGAUCUGGGACCAACUUCACAGCUGAGCCCAUGUCAGCCUGGAGGAAGAACAACAAUUGGCAUCUACAAUGGAAAGACCUUUCAUGGUCGGACUCAGCUGUGUAUUACUGCGCCUGCAGCACUGCACAGUGA